RNAcentral lists this ribosomal RNA (522 nucleotides) under uncultured Glomus. Its description in RNAcentral is "SSU rRNA". It matches the Rfam family "Eukaryotic small subunit ribosomal RNA", at positions 569 to 1092 of the family's 1831-position model. Lineage: Eukaryota; Fungi; Glomeromycota; Glomeromycetes; Glomerales; Glomeraceae. The record is from RNAcentral.
AGCAGCCGCGGUAAUUCCAGCUCCAAUAGCGUAUAUUAAAGUUGUUGCAGUUAAAAAGCUCGUAGUUGAAUUUCGGGGUUAGUAGGUUGGUCGUGCCACUGGUACGUACUGGUCUCACUGACUCCUCCUUCCUGAUGAACUGUAAUGCCAUUAAUUUGGUGUUGCGGGGAAACUGGACUGUUACUUUGAAAAAAUUAGAGUGUUUAAAGCAAGCUAACGCUUGAAUACAUUAGCGUGGAAUAAUGAAAUAGGACGUUCGAUCCUAUUUUGUUGGUUUCUAGGAUUGACGUAAUGAUUAAUAGGGAUAGUUGGGGGCAUUAGUAUUCAAUUGUCAGAGGUGAAAUUCUUGGAUUUAUUGAAGACUAACUACUGCGAAAGCAUUUGCCAAGGAUGUUUUCAUUAAUCAAGAACGAAAGUUAGGGGAUCGAAGACGAUCAGAUACCGUCGUAGUCUUAACCAUAAACUAUGCCGACUAGGGAUCGGAUGAUGUUAAUUUUUUAAUGACUCAUUCGGCGCCUUACG